AAUUUUGGAAUAUUUCUGCCACAUCCCUGAUUGCAGCAAUAGCUAGAGGUGAGUAGGAACUACUCACUUUAGAUGGAGCGUGUGUAGUGCACACCAGUGUAUUACAUGUCCACUGCUCCCCGGGGGGACCCCCACAAUUGAGAUGAGUGUGAGUCAUCAUGCGUCAUCCCACACAGGCCCUGCUGCACACAUUCACACUGCCUACCCAGCUCCUGCAGGCAUUGGACAGUGUAAUUUCUUUUGUUGGGACACUGAGGCUGCUGUUGUAAACCAAAGACCUUAAUGUCCUCCUGGUUGUCUGUGUGGUGGGGUUGCUAGAUUUAGCAAACACAAAAUGCUGAAGCAGAACAACCACCACCCAAGAACAAAAUAAAAUGGAAUGUCCAGGUAAAUUUAUAUUUCAGACAAACAACGAAUGAUUUUUCAAUAUAAGUAUGUCUUCAGUACUGACAUUUUCUCUAGCCUCUUUGUGAAGCAAAGCAGCAUUGGUGCUGAGAUGGUGUCCUGACCUUGUAUUUCUGGUACACAGAACCAGGUACAUUCCCUACCCAUGGCUGCCCAUUCUAUGCCUCCAUUGACUGAGGUCACCUCGAGAGAGGCUCUGCUUCUUGCACCUGAUGCUCCACAAUAGCCCAGGUGUUGGAUGAGUAGCCUGUCGGAAUAGAUUGGCUCAGAGGAAUGAUGAGAGCCAAAGUUGGAAGGUCAUUUGGGGACAGACUGCAGAGGGCCCUUAUGCCAGAAUCAAGAUUGAAGGCGACACCAUGGCAGUGGCAUUUCAAGAAGAUGCAGCUGACAUUGUUUUGAGAAACAGGAAGACAGCAUUCCUGGGGGUGAGGAGCUCCCAAGAAAGUUGUGGGGAUACUGAGGUUGGCAGUAAUGAGGGUCUCCAUUGGAAGGUGGAGGCUGGAAUGGAGAGGAGUUGACAUAGGCAACCAGUGUUGUAGGAAGAAUCAAGAGGUUUGGUGACAGCUUGAAUGAGUUGGUGACACUUCUAUGGUUAUCGAAUGGGGGCAGCAGCACUGCCCUGAGCUAUAUUUCCCAGGAAGCUGGGAGGGGAGCUGCCCUGAAGAGAAAAGGAACAAUGCCUUUUUAGAUGUGUUGACCUGGAGGUGCAGUCAAAUAGAAAAAUCCAGUAAGAGGUUGAAAAUUCUGCGUUGACCUCAGGGUUAGAUUCCACUGGAAUCACGGACUCCA
This 1194-nucleotide long non-coding RNA is filed under the name Homo sapiens (human). RNAcentral's name for it is "HSALNT0151402". Lineage: Eukaryota; Metazoa; Chordata; Mammalia; Primates; Hominidae. The record is from RNAcentral.